ACAGUGUCUGGUGGGUAGUUUGACUGGGGCGGUCUCCUCCUAAAGAGUAACGGAGGAGCACGAAGGUUAGCUAAUCCUGGUCGGACAUCAGGAGGUUAGUGCAAAGGCAUAAGCUAGCUUGACUGCGAGCGUGACGGCGCGAGCAGGUGCGAAAGCAGGUCUUAGUGAUCCGGUGGUUCUGAAUGGAAGGGCCAUCGCUCAACGGAUAAAAGGUACUCCGGGGAUAACAGGCUGAUACCGCCCAAGAGUUCAUAUCGACGGCGGUGUUUGGCACCUCGAUGUCGGCUCAUCACAUCCUGGGGCUGAAGUAGGUCCCAAGGGUAUGGCUGUUCGCCAUUUAAAGUGGUACGCGAGCUGGGUUUAGAACGUCGUGAGACAGUUCGGUCCCUAUCUGCCGUGGGCGCUGGAGAAUUGAGGGGGGCUGCUCCUAGUACGAGAGGACCGGAGUGGACGCAUCACUGGUGUUCGGGUUGUCAUGCCAAUGGCACUGCCCGGUAGCUAAAUGCGGAAGAGAUAAGUGCUGAAAGCAUCUAAGCACGAAACUUGCCCCGAGAUGAGUUCUCCCUGACCCUUUAAGGGUCCUGAAGGAACGUUGAAG
Molecule: ribosomal RNA, 598 nt
Filed under: Citrobacter amalonaticus
Lineage: Bacteria; Pseudomonadati; Pseudomonadota; Gammaproteobacteria; Enterobacterales; Enterobacteriaceae
Description: partial 23S ribosomal RNA
Rfam family: Bacterial large subunit ribosomal RNA
Source: RNAcentral